GUAGUUGAUCCGUGGCUCGAGACGACGCUGGCGGCGUGCUUAACACAUGCAAGUCGAACGAUGAACCGCUUUCGGGCGGGGAUUAGUGGCGAACGGGUGAGUAACACGUGGGCAAUCUGCCCUGCACUCUGGGACAAGCCCUGGAAACGGGGUCUAAUACCGGAUAUGACUGUCCAUCGCAUGGUGGAUGGUGUAAAGCUCCGGCGGUGCAGGAUGAGCCCGCGGCCUAUCAGCUUGUUGGUGAGGUAGUGGCUCACCAAGGCGACGACGGGUAGCCGGCCUGAGAGGGCGACCGGCCACACUGGGACUGAGACACGGCCCAGACUCCUACGGGAGGCAGCAGGUGGGGAAUAUUGCACAAGUGGGACGAAAGCCUGAUGCAGCGACGCCGCGUGAGGAUGACGGCCUUCGGGUUGUAAACCUCUUUCAGCAGGGAAGAAGCGAAAGUGACGGUACCUGCAGAAGAAGCGCCGGCUAACUACGUG
This 485-nucleotide ribosomal RNA is filed under the name uncultured Streptomyces sp. Its description in RNAcentral is "bacterial SSU rRNA". It matches the Rfam family "Bacterial small subunit ribosomal RNA", at positions 33 to 507 of the family's 1533-position model. The record is from RNAcentral. Lineage: Bacteria; Bacillati; Actinomycetota; Actinomycetes; Kitasatosporales; Streptomycetaceae.